AUGAACGCUGGCGGCGUGCCUAAUACAUGCAAGUCGAGCGAAUGGACGAGAAGCUUGCUUCUCUGAUGUUAGCGGCGGACGGGUGAGUAACACGUGGAUAACCUACCUAUAAGACUGGGAUAACUUCGGGAAACCGGAGCUAAUACCGGAUGAUAUUUUGAACCGCAUGGUUCAAAAGUGAAAGACGGUCUUGCUGUCACUUAUAGAUGGAUCCGCGCUGCAUUAGCUAGUUGGUAAGGUAACGGCUUACCAAGGCAACGAUGCAUAGCCGACCUGAGAGGGUGAUCGGCCACACUGGAACUGAGACACGGUCCAGACUCCUACGGGAGGCAGCAGUAGGGAAUCUUCCGCAAUGGGCGAAAGCCUGACGGAGCAACGCCGCGUGAGUGAUGAAGGUCUUCGGAUCGUAAAACUCUGUUAUUAGGGAAGAACAUAUGUGUAAGUAACUGUGCACAUCUUGACGGUACCUAAUCAGAAAGCCACGGCUAACUACGUG
This 496-nucleotide ribosomal RNA is filed under the name uncultured bacterium. RNAcentral describes it as "partial 16S ribosomal RNA". It matches the Rfam family "Bacterial small subunit ribosomal RNA", at positions 29 to 507 of the family's 1533-position model. The record is from RNAcentral.